Molecule: ribosomal RNA, 96 nt
Filed under: Escherichia coli
Lineage: Bacteria; Pseudomonadati; Pseudomonadota; Gammaproteobacteria; Enterobacterales; Enterobacteriaceae
Also listed under: 6 other names
Source: RNAcentral
UCUGGCGGCAGUAGCGCGGUGGUCCCACCUGACCCCAUGCCGAACUCAGAAGUGAAACGCCGUAGCGCCGAUGGUAGUGUGGGGUCUCCCCAUGCG